This 497-nucleotide ribosomal RNA is filed under the name uncultured bacterium. RNAcentral describes it as "partial 16S ribosomal RNA". It matches the Rfam family "Bacterial small subunit ribosomal RNA", at positions 28 to 507 of the family's 1533-position model. The record is from RNAcentral.
GAUGAACGCUGGCGGCGUGCCUAAUACAUGCAAGUCGAGCGAACGGACGAGAAGCUUGCUUCUCUGAUGUUAGCGGCGGACGGGUGAGUAACACGUGGAUAACCUACCUAUAAGACUGGGAUAACUUCGGGAAACCGGAGCUAAUACCGGAUAAUAUUUUGAACCGCAUGGUUCAAAAGUGAAAGACGGUCUUGCUGUCACUUAUAGAUGGAUCUGCGCUGCAUUAGCUAGUUGGUAAGGUAACGGCUUACCAAGGCAACGAUGCAUAGCCGACCUGAGAGUGGGGCGGCCCACAGUGGACAGGAGACAGGGUCCAGCCCCAGGCGGGGGGCGCCAGGGGGGAAUCUUCCGAAAGGGGGGAACGCCUGAGGGGCCAACGCCGGGGGAGUGAGAAGGUUCUGGGGAUCGUAAAACUUUUUUAUUGGGAAAAAACAUAUGUGUAAGUAUCUGUCCACCUCUGCAGGGUACAUAAUAAAAAGACCACGGCUACCUCCGUC